AGGGCACCACCAGGAGUGGAGCCUGCGGCUUAAUUUGACUCAACACGGGAAAGCUCACCCGGCCCGGACACCGUAAGGAUUGACAGACUGAGAGCUCUUUCUUAAUUCGGUGGGUGGUGGUGCAUGGCCGUUCUUAGUUGGUGGAGCGAUUUGUCUGGUUAAUUCCGAUAACGAACGAGACUCUGGCCUAUUAAAUAGACGAUAUAUCUAUCUAGUAUAUCGCGCUUCUUAGAGGGACAAGCGGCGUCCAGCCGCAUGAAAUAGAGCAAUAACAGGUCUGUGAUGCCCUUAGAUGUCCGGGGCUGCACGCGCGCUACACUGAAAGAAUCAGCGUGCGUUUUACCUAGUUCGGAAGAACCGGGUAACCCAAGUAAAUUCUUUCGUGCUUGGGAUAGGGAAUUGCAAUUAUUUCCCUUGAACGAGGAAUUCCCAGUAAAUGCGGGUCAUAAGCUCGCGUUGAUUACGUCCCUGCCCUUUGUACACACCGCCCGUCGCUACUACCGAUUGGAUGACUUAGUG
RNAcentral lists this ribosomal RNA (519 nucleotides) under uncultured eukaryote. RNAcentral's name for it is "SSU rRNA". It matches the Rfam family "Eukaryotic small subunit ribosomal RNA", at positions 1161 to 1703 of the family's 1831-position model. The record is from RNAcentral.